Long non-coding RNA from Uranotaenia lowii, 3741 nucleotides. RefSeq lists it as uncharacterized. Lineage: Eukaryota; Metazoa; Arthropoda; Insecta; Diptera; Culicidae. The transcript is spliced from 6 exons. The record is from RefSeq and is a predicted model, not a curated record.
UUAUUGAAAGAUACGGGUAAUAAUCCUUAAAACAAAACUCAAGAUGUAUUUGAGUGUGUCUUCACUGUCAACAAGAAAAAAAAAUGGCGUGCGCGACUUUAGAUUCCUAAGCCCGUAAGAUUCCGGAAAAUCCUCUUAAUUUGGCCAGGCAACCCACGAAUGGCAUGAGCACUUAAGAUUAAGCUGAUCAAGGCCCACACCGCAAACGCGAGGAAUAAAGCUCAUCAAAGUGCAGCAGAUGCCGGAACAAUCCUCAUCAACCGGCCGAACAAACACUGGAGCGGUUCCAGUGCCCCAGCACCACGCUCCGUAGAAGCGGCAGCAGCUGUGGUCUGUGUAAAAUUGUAAAUACAAUUGGAGAUGGCAGCGAUUUGCGGAUUUGGUGGUGGUGGCGUCGAAGGAAAAGUUUUCCGGAAACCUUGAAUCCCAAAAUGCAGUUGUUUAGAGUAAUCUAAAAUUGACUGAAAGGAUGAGGCAAAACAAACGGUUGCACUACGGUGCGCAGAAUCUGAGCCUCCCAAAAUAAACUGCCGGAAUCGGUCCGCAGAUACCAGCUCCGGUGAUGUGCAGGGUCUACACCGUAUUUUGAGAAAUAGUAAACAGCAAGAUCUUCAUCAACCGGAACCUGCAGGGCUGGAGGUCAUAUCAUUGCACAGUGGUGCAGAACAUCAAUCUAGCUGUACGAAAUUAAUAGCGCCCAGGGAUGAAGAGAUAGACAUUUGAUGUCUUCAGCAACAUUGUUCAGUUUUACAAGGGGCAUAUUCUAGUAUCAAAAUUUUUGCCGAGGGGUCCACCGAUAGCGAGAUAAAAAUGCUAACUUUUUUGUUUUUCAAAUUAGAGCUUUGAUGUCUUCGACAAAGUUGUUUAUCUGAUCAAAAUACAUAAGUUUGUUGAAUAUGUCAAAGUCCUAUCACAUCACUCUCUGGAGUUACAGUCAAAGUAAAAAAAAUCUCUUGAAAAAACAGUUUUUUGAACCUGACACGUUGUAGAUUGGAUGAAAUGGUUCGCUGUCUUUGAAACAAAGUUGUAACAAGCCACGAUCUACAUUUGUCUCAUACAUUAUGAUGGGUUUAGAAGUUGCUGAAGCUCUAUAGAAAGCAUUUAGUGUAUUUUAUUGGCAAUUUUGGAAGGCUCAUCCAUCGAAAAGUGCACAUUUUCGCAACAUCCCAUUUUUUAUGAUUAUUUUUGAUGAUAAGCGGAACCAUUUCCAUCUGAAGUUAGCGCGGAAAUCGGUGGAACUAGUAGGGAUUUGAAUGAUUGAAAAUACACAUUUUAGGUAAAAAUUACCUAUUUUACUUAUAGAAAAAACGUUUAAAAAUUUAAUUGAUUAAUAAAAUGUUGCAGUUUCCGUUUAUACAUUUUCUUUUAUUAAAAGCAGUGUUCUGAAUAUCACUCAUUUUCAAUGAAUGUUUCUGAUUGCACUUCGCACCUGAACGUACAGCGGUCGGGUUUCGUUAUUGAUUGCUACUGGACCUACCCGAUCAUCGAUCGUUCAAUUCAUCGCUAAAAUACAGAUCACCUCGCACGAUGCUUGCUGUCAAAACAGUGCAGCACCAUCAUCAAAUUGGAAUAUCACCAAUGCGCAAUGCAUAUGGCGAAUCUUGUUGGUCUUCGAUCAGGAGUGAAUGGAUCAGGCAGUGAGUGAAUGAUACAUGAAGCCGAUCAUUAGCGUAUUUUGUUUGAUUUGAUAUAAAGCAAAUUAAUAAAUUUAUUUGUUGUUAUAACGUUUUUUAACAUCAGUAUGAUCAAAAUCAAAUUGCAGUUGUGUUUGUGAGGGAAAGAUGUUCACUUUCGCCGUGUUUUUCAAUUUUUACAAGUUCUCUUAUUAAAAUGUCGUACGUCACGUUAAAACUACUGAGAAUUUAUGGUGUCCCGCACAACUGUUUGAUUUUUCUCGUCCUGCAAAAAAUAAUUUUGAAUUUCAUAUAAUUCAGGCAGAUACUGAGUGAGCUACAUUCAGAAUGGAUCAGUUUGUAUCUCACUCAUCUCCGAUAUGCGAUGUUUGCUGAACCGAUGAUUCUGAAUGAUGCGACUCGGUUUGCAUAGCUGAUAGGAGCGCUGAUCGAGAUUGCAUACCAGCCAGGCGAAGCAGUAGCGAGAGGCGCUAUCCCAUUAUACAAUCGGAAUGUUUCCAACAGGAAACGCAUCCUGAGUGUUUGUUUUGAUUGAUUUUCGGACCAUUGAUUAAAAGGCAUUCAAAUUCGAUUAAAACUUAUGACUCAACGAAAAGACAAAAGCGAAUUGCUUGUAAGAUUGGUUACUUGGUCACAGUUACUUGGAACCAGUUAUAGCAGUUAUAUUGUAAUGGCAAAAUUCUAUAAUUCAAAUACUAAUUUAGUGCUCUACCAAAUUUAACAGAUAAGUUCCAUUCAUUUUUUGGGGUUUAAAUAAUUUGAAAAAUCGAAUUUAAAUGUCUUUUAAUAAAACAAAAUAUAUAAAAGAAAACUGCAACACUUUAUUAACAAAUUAAAUGUUUUAACGUUUUUUCUAUAAGUAAAAUAGGUAAUUUUUACAUAAAAUGUGAAAUUUUCAAACAUUCAAAUCUCUACUAGUUCCACCGAUUUCCGCGCUAAUUUAAAAUGGAAAUGGUUCCGCUUAUCAUCAAAAAUAAUCAUAAAAAAUGGGAUGUUGCGAAAAUGUGCACUUUUCGAUGGAUGAGCCUUCCAAAAUUGCCAAUAAAAUACACUAAAUGCUUUCUAUAGAGCUUCAGGAACUUCUAAACCCAUCAUAAUGUAUGAGACAAAUGUAGAUCGUGGCUUGUUACAACUUUGUUUCAAAGACAGCGAACCAUUUUAUCCAAUCUACAACGUGUCAGGUUCAAAAAACUGUUUUUUCAAGUGAUUUUUUUUACUUUGACUGUAACUCCAGAGAGUGAUGUGAUAGGACUUUGACAUAUUCAACAAACUUAUGUAUUUUGAUCAGAUAAACAACUUUGUCGAAGACAUCAAAGCUCUAAUUUGAAAAACAAAAAAGUUAGCAUUUUUAUCUCGCUAUCGGUGGACCCCUCGGCAAAAAUUUUGAUACUAGAAUAUGCCCCUUGUAAAACUGAACAAUGUUGCUGAAGACAUCAAAUGUCUAUCUCUUCAUCCCUGGGCGCUAUUAAUUUCGUACAGCUAGAUUGCUGUUCUGCACCACUGUGCAUUGUAAAGAAGGUCAACGUAUUUUCGUGUCGCCUACGCUUCCAAAGCAGAAAUCCUCUUAUUUCAACCAAAAUUCCCGGAAUCGCGUGGCAGGAAACGGCUCCAGUAAUGUGCUGGGACACUGUCUUACGCUGGAGUAAGAAAAGUCCGCCUGAGAAAUCUUACAAUGUGCACAGUGCCGAUACGCCAGCAACGGAGGAAACAUGCAAAUUGAAGACGGUCCCGAGCUAAAAAAAUCCGUUGGGAAGGAUUCUAAAACAUGGCCUGUGAUAGAAGAAUACUAAUCUCUAGAAGAUACGAAACUGCAGGUUACAAUUAAGUCGAGUUGAAAUUCGCGAUAGUGACCUUUUGAAAUGACAGCUCUUCCAGUAAGGCACUCCAUUUGAAUCCAGGAGUCACUUUUGUUUCCAACUAGGCGACGAAGGUGAUAGAUGCGUUUAUUGAAGGCCGAGAAUCCUGAAUACAAUUUAAUCCUCCUCAGCAUUGGGCCUUACAAAUGCUGCUCGGGCGUGACUAUUUGGCGACUUGAAUGUUUUUUUUUUGCAUAAAGAUAAUGACCACAUUAUACAUAUGUAUGAUUUUUUUAUAUUGUAAUCAUUGU